GUUUGUUUUAUGUGUGACUCCUCCCACCAGAGGAUGGCUGUGGGGUUUUCCUUUUCUUUCUUAGGAGGUGGACACCUGGGCGUGCCUGCUGAGUAGUUGGGUGGAGUCUCUUGCUGUCCUGGGAUUGGAUAAUUGGUUGAUCACCUCCAGUAUUUAACCACCAGAUGACAGCCACCUGCUGUCACUCACAUUGCUCACUGCUGAAGCAACUAAAUGGCUGCUUAGCACUUUAAAAGGUGGGUUUACUCCUCAACAGCUUCACCAUGAAGUUUUACUUCUGUCGAGCUCAUCAUCGGGUAUCCAGCAACCUGACAGUCUACCUGAAGAACCUGACGGCUGCUGACUUCCUGCUCUGCCUCAGCCUGCCCAUCCGCAUCACCAACUACGCCAGCAGCUCCACCACCAUCCACCAACUCCACUGCAGCAUUGGAAUCCCUGUGCUAUACUUUAACAUGUACGCCAGCAUCCUGUUCAUGGGGUACAUUGCUGCUAACAGGUAUCUGAAGAUCAUCCAUCCAUCAGGAACUCACAUGUUGCAGACAGUACGAGCUGCAAAAAUCCUCUCCGGGAUCACCUGGGCUUGUCUCCUGGCCCCAACAAUCAGCUUCAUCACCACAUUUUUCAUCACCCAAAAACCUCAGAUCUCUGACCUCAGACACUGUGACUCCGUCUUCAGUGCAUCUGCCAGCCUGCUCGGAAAGGGCAUCCACACCUGUUUGGGGAUCAUCUUCCUGGUGGUCCUAAUAUCCCUGGUCUUCUUUACAACAUGAUCGUGUUGGGCGAUCGUGGCUCAAGAGUUGGGAGUUCGUCUUGUAAUCGGAAGGUUGUCGGUUUGAGCCCCGGCUCCGACAGCCUCGGUCGUUGUGUCCUUGGGCAAGACACUUCACCCGUUGCCUACUGGUGGUGCCAGUGUCCGGCAGCCUCGCCUCUGUCAGUGCGCCCCAGGGUGG
Long non-coding RNA from Oreochromis aureus, 950 nucleotides. The record is from Ensembl. NCBI's taxonomy places the organism in Eukaryota, Metazoa, Chordata, Actinopteri, Cichliformes, Cichlidae.